GGGAAUAACAAUGAGAAAUCAUUGCUAAUACCGCAUAUGCCAUAGGUACCACAUGGUACUAGUGGGAAAGGAGCAAUUCGCUAAAAGAUGGCCUUGCGUCUGAUUAGAUAGUUGGUAAGGUAACGGCUUACCAAGUCGACGAUCAGUAGCCGGACUGAGAGGUUGAACGGCCACAUUGGGACUGAGAUACGGCCCAGACUCCUACGGGAGGCAGCAGUCGGGAAUAUUGCGCAAUGGAGGAAACUCUGACGCAGUGACGCCGCGUAUAGGAAGAAGUUUUUCGGAAUGUAAACUAUUGUCGUUAGGGAAGAGAAAGGACAGUACCUAAGGAGGAAGCUCCGGCUAACUACGUGCCAGCAGCCGCGGUAAUACGUAGGGAGCGAGCGUUAUCCGGAAUUAUUGGGUGUAAAGGGUGCGUAGACGGGAAAACAAGUUAGUUGUGAAAUCCCUCGGCUUAACUGAGGAACUGCAACUAAAACUAUUUUUCUUGAGUGCAGGAGAGGUAAGUGGAAUUCCUAGUGUAGCGGUGAAAUGCGUAGAUAUUAGGAGGAACACCAGUGGCGAAGGCGACUUACUGGACUGUAACUGACGUUGAGGCACGAAAGUGUGGGGAGCAAACAGGAUUAGAUACCCUGGUAGUCCACACCGUAAACGAUGGA
RNAcentral lists this ribosomal RNA (659 nucleotides) under uncultured bacterium. RNAcentral's name for it is "bacterial SSU rRNA". It matches the Rfam family "Bacterial small subunit ribosomal RNA", at positions 139 to 813 of the family's 1533-position model. The record is from RNAcentral.